GGUCAAGUGAAGAAGCGCAUACGGUGGAUGCCUUGGCAGUCAGAGGCGAUGAAAGACGUGGUAGCCUGCGAAAAGCUUCGGGGAGUCGGCAAACAGACUUUGAUCCGGAGAUCUCUGAAUGGGGGAACCCACCUAGGAUAACCUAGGUAUCUUGUACUGAAUCCAUAGGUGCAAGAGGCGAACCAGGGGAACUGAAACAUCUAAGUACCCUGAGGAAAAGAAAUCAACCGAGAUUCCCUUAGUAGUGGCGAGCGAACGGGGAUUAGCCCUUAAGCUUCAUUGAUUUUAGCGGAACGCUCUGGAAAGUGCGGCCAUAGUGGGUGAUAGCCCCGUACGCGAAAGGAUCUUUGAAGUGAAAUCGAGUAGGACGGAGCACGAGAAACUUUGUCUGAACAUGGGGGGACCAUCCUCCAAGGCUAAAUACUACUGACUGACCGAUAGUGAACCAGUACCGUGAGGGAAAGGCGAAAAGAACCCCGGAGAGGGGAGUGAAAUAGAACCUGAAACCGUAUGCGUACAAGCAGUGGGAGCCUACUUGUUAGGUGACUGCGUACCUUUUGUAUAAUGGGUCAGCGACUUAUAUUCAGUGGCAAGCUUAACCGUAUAGGGUAGGCGUAGCGAAAGCGAGUCUUAAUAGGGCGUUUAGUCGCUGGGUAUAGACCCGAAACCGGGCGAUCUAUCCAUGAGCAGGUUGAAGGUUAGGUAACACUGACUGGAGGACCGAACCCACUCCCGUUGAAAAGGUAGGGGAUGACUUGUGGAUCGGAGUGAAAGGCUAAUCAAGCUCGGAGAUAGCUGGUUCUCCUCGAAAGCUAUUUAGGUAGCGCCUCAUGUAUCACUCUGGGGGGUAGAGCACUGUUUCGGCUAGGGGGUCAUCCCGACUUACCAAACCGAUGCAAACUCCGAAUACCCAGAAGUGCCGAGCAUGGGAGACACACGGCGGGUGCUAACGUCCGUCGUGAAAAGGGAAACAACCCAGACCGCCAGCUAAGGUCCCAAAGUUGUGGUUAAGUGGUAAACGAUGUGGGAAGGCUUAGACAGCUAGGAGGUUGGCUUAGAAGCAGCCAUCCUUUAAAGAAAGCGUAAUAGCUCACUAGUCGAGUCGGCCUGCGCGGAAGAUGUAACGGGGCUCAAACCACACACCGAAGCUGCGGGUGUCACGUAAGUGACGCGGUAGAGGAGCGUUCUGUAAGCCUGUGAAGGUGAGUUGAGAAGCUUGCUGGAGGUAUCAAANNNNNNNNNNNNNNNNNNNNNNNNNNNNNNNNNNNNNNNNNNNNNNNNNNNNNNNNNNNNNNNNNNNNNNNNNNNNNNNNNNNNNNNNNNGGUAUCAGAAGUGCGAAUGCUGACAUGAGUAACGACAAUGGGUGUGAAAAACACCCACGCCGAAAGACCAAGGGUUCCUGCGCAACGUUAAUCGACGCAGGGUUAGUCGGUUCCUAAGGCGAGGCUGAAAAGCGUAGUCGAUGGGAAACAGGUUAAUAUUCCUGUACUUCUGGUUACUGCGAUGGAGGGACGGAGAAGGCUAGGCCAGCUUGGCGUUGGUUGUCCAAGUUUAAGGUGGUAGGCUGAAAUCUUAGGUAAAUCCGGGGUUUCAAGGCCGAGAGCUGAUGACGAGUCGUCUUUUAGAUGACGAAGUGGUUGAUGCCAUGCUUCCAAGAAAAGCUUCUAAGCUUCAGGUAACCAGGAACCGUACCCCAAACCGACACAGGUGGUCGGGUAGAGAAUACCAAGGCGCUUGAGAGAACUCGGGUGAAGGAACUAGGCAAAAUGGCACCGUAACUUCGGGAGAAGGUGCGCCGGCUAGGGUGAAGGAUUUACUCCGUAAGCUCUGGCUGGUCGAAGAUACCAGGCCGCUGCGACUGUUUAUUAAAAACACAGCACUCUGCAAACACGAAAGUGGACGUAUAGGGUGUGACGCCUGCCCGGUGCCGGAAGGUUAAUUGAUGGGGUUAGCGCAAGCGAAGCUCUUGAUCGAAGCCCCGGUAAACGGCGGCCGUAACUAUAACGGUCCUAAGGUAGCGAAAUUCCUUGUCGGGUAAGUUCCGACCUGCACGAAUGGCGUAACGAUGGCGGCGCUGUCUCCACCCGAGACUCAGUGAAAUUGAAAUCGCUGUGAAGAUGCAGUGUAUCCGCGGCUAGACGGAAAGACCCCGUGAACCUUUACUGUAGCUUUGCACUGGACUUUGAGCCUGCUUGUGUAGGAUAGGUGGGAGGCUUUGAAGCGUGGACGCCAGUUCGCGUGGAGCCAUCCUUGAAAUACCACCCUGGCAUGCUUGAGGUUCUAACUCUGGUCCGUGAUCCGGAUCGAGGACAGUGUAUGGUGGGCAGUUUGACUGGGGCGGUCUCCUCCUAAAGAGUAACGGAGGAGUACGAAGGUGCGCUCAGACCGGUCGGAAAUCGGUCGCAGAGUAUAAAGGCAAAAGCGCGCUUGACUGCGAGACAGACACGUCGAGCAGGUACGAAAGUAGGUCUUAGUGAUCCGGUGGUUCUGUAUGGAAGGGCCAUCGCUCAACGGAUAAAAGGUACUCCGGGGAUAACAGGCUGAUACCGCCCAAGAGUUCAUAUCGACGGCGGUGUUUGGCACCUCGAUGUCGGCUCAUCACAUCCUGGGGCUGAAGCCGGUCCCAAGGGUAUGGCUGUUCGCCAUUUAAAGUGGUACGCGAGCUGGGUUUAGAACGUCGUGAGACAGUUCGGUCCCUAUCUGCCGUGGACGUUUGAGAUUUGAGAGGGGCUGCUCCUAGUACGAGAGGACCGGAGUGGACGAACCUCUGGUGUUCCGGUUGUCACGCCAGUGGCAUUGCCGGGUAGCUAUGUUCGGAAAAGAUAACCGCUGAAAGCAUCUAAGCGGGAAACUUGCCUCAAGAUGAGAUCUCACUGGGAACUUGAUUCCCCUGAAGGGCCGUCGAAGACUACGACGUUGAUAGGCUGGGUGUGUAAGCGUUGUGAGGCGUUGAGCUAACCAGUACUAAUUGCCCGUGAGGCUUGACCAU
RNAcentral lists this ribosomal RNA (2990 nucleotides) under Pseudomonas aeruginosa. RNAcentral describes it as "23S ribosomal RNA". It matches the Rfam family "Bacterial large subunit ribosomal RNA". Lineage: Bacteria; Pseudomonadati; Pseudomonadota; Gammaproteobacteria; Pseudomonadales; Pseudomonadaceae. The record is from RNAcentral.